RNAcentral lists this ribosomal RNA (246 nucleotides) under uncultured bacterium. RNAcentral describes it as "partial 16S ribosomal RNA". It matches the Rfam family "Bacterial small subunit ribosomal RNA", at positions 29 to 257 of the family's 1533-position model. The record is from RNAcentral.
AACGAACGCUGGCGGCGUGCUUAACACAUGCAAGUCGAACGAGAAAGCGGGCUUCGGUCCGCUAGUAAAGUGGCAGACGGGUGAGUAACACGUGGGUAACCUGCCCGGAGGUGGGGACAACCCUCCGAAAGGAGGGCUAAUACCGCAUGAUAUCCCUGAGGCUUCGGCCUUGAGGAUCAAAGCUAGCCUCUACAUGUAAGCUAGCUCCACCGGAGGGGCCCGCGGCCCAUUAGCUAGUUGGGAGGU